AGCUCCAAUAGCGUAUAUUAAAAUUGUUGCGGUUAAAAAGCUCGUAGUUGGAUAUCUGCUGAGUGGUUUCGGUACUUCCCAGUGAAGAUUACACGGAACUAUUCUUGGCAUUUGUUCAGGGAAAGUUUCUGCACUUGAUUGUGUGGGACAGGAACUGAAUUUUUACUUUGAGGAAAUGAGAGUGUUUCAAGCAGGCAUUUGCCGUGAAUAUGAUAGCAUGGAAUAAUAGCACAGGACCCCGUCCCAAGCUGUUGGUUUUUGAGACGAGGUAAUAAUAAUAAGGAUAGUUGGGGGCAUUCGUAUUUCAAUGUCAGAGGUGAAAUUCUUGGAUUAUUGAAAGACGAACUAUUGCGAAGGCAUCUGCCAAGGAUGUUUUUA
This 378-nucleotide ribosomal RNA is filed under the name uncultured eukaryote. RNAcentral's name for it is "SSU rRNA". It matches the Rfam family "Eukaryotic small subunit ribosomal RNA", at positions 587 to 972 of the family's 1831-position model. The record is from RNAcentral.